Molecule: non-coding RNA, 30 nt
Filed under: Mus musculus (house mouse)
Lineage: Eukaryota; Metazoa; Chordata; Mammalia; Rodentia; Muridae
Source: RNAcentral
UGNGCAGAAUGGAGCUUCACAAGCAACAGG